Molecule: long non-coding RNA, 357 nt
Filed under: Pogona vitticeps (central bearded dragon)
Lineage: Eukaryota; Metazoa; Chordata; Lepidosauria; Squamata; Agamidae
Description: lncRNA (ENSPVIG00000012282.1)
Source: RNAcentral
GUAGUUAGUUUAACUUGAUUAGAAAGGGAAACAGAAACCAUUGGAAGACACUUUACCAACAAGGAAGCGCUGGCUGUACUUUUAAAACAGAAAACAUAUUCUCUGGAGAACAAGCUACAUCUUAAAUUUAAUCUUCCUCCAACACCUCAAAAUACAGGAGGAGAACCAUCCUUCUCUCUUUCCCUUGACUAUAAAGGCUCUUGUCGUCUUGGAAGAAUGUUGAUCUGAAACAAAAAAGGAAAGAGGAGGAUUAGAAAAAGAGACUCUGCAGUGUGUCUGCAGACAUUUGGCCUCCUUUGUGGUUUUUGAGACUCGAAGACUUUUUCAGGCAGGUUUGGCCCUCUUGGGAGAGGGUUU